CUUUGCCUUCUGGUUGAACCAUAAUAAUCUGUGGAUUUUUUGGUUGCAUAUAAAAAUUUAUUGGUGUAUGCCUUGUCUCAUGCCAUGAGAUUGUGUUGAUUCACAAAAGGUUGGGUUCUAUACAUUAUAUUUGUAAUGUUAUCCUGUGCAAUUUUGACAUGUUAGAAUAAUUUUCUGUACAUUCCUGGCAACAACCAAAAUAAUCCUUCUCAUCAAUUUCAUCAUUAAGCAUUCUAAGAGAGAAAAAGGCGAAAGACAUUGUGUUUGCUAUAAGUUUUUCAUGUACUUUAGUCAGGAUGAGCAAGAUGUUUUGUCAUUUGAUAGUGUGUUUGAGAAAAUUUUUUACAAGAAACAAAAACCAUGAGAUCUUCAUACUGGGGGAACUCUACUGGUAAUUUUCAUUGUGGAAAAAUGUUGAACGGUGUGUUAGUUCCACCUCACUCAUGCUGGGAACUCUCAUUUUGGCUUCUUCUUAAUGGAUAAAUGGCACGGUCGCUUUGCAGGCUAAUCAUGCUCUUUUGGAAG
This 525-nucleotide unclassified non-coding RNA is filed under the name Hevea brasiliensis (rubber tree). The record is from RNAcentral. Lineage: Eukaryota; Viridiplantae; Streptophyta; Magnoliopsida; Malpighiales; Euphorbiaceae.